AGGUUGCUGUGGGCGGAAUGUGUGGUGUAGCGGUGAAAUGCUUAGAGAUCACACAGAAUAUCGAUUGCGAAGGCAGCUCACAAAGCCUAAAUUGACGCUGAGGCACGAAAGUGUGGGGAUCGAACAGGAUUAGAUACCCUGGUAGUCCACACUGUAAACGAUGAUAACUCGCUGUCGGCGAUAUACAGUCGGUGGCCAAGCGAAAGCCAUAAGUUAUCCACCUGGGGAGUACGACCGCAAGGUUUAAACUC
RNAcentral lists this ribosomal RNA (251 nucleotides) under uncultured bacterium. RNAcentral's name for it is "partial 16S ribosomal RNA". It matches the Rfam family "Bacterial small subunit ribosomal RNA", at positions 649 to 902 of the family's 1533-position model. The record is from RNAcentral.